RNAcentral lists this ribosomal RNA (464 nucleotides) under Vreelandella stevensii. RNAcentral's name for it is "partial 16S ribosomal RNA". It matches the Rfam family "Bacterial small subunit ribosomal RNA", at positions 339 to 795 of the family's 1533-position model. Lineage: Bacteria; Pseudomonadati; Pseudomonadota; Gammaproteobacteria; Oceanospirillales; Halomonadaceae. The record is from RNAcentral.
CCACGGGUGGCAGCAGUGGGGAAUAUUGGACAAUGGGCGAAAGCCUGAUCCAGCCAUGCCGCGUGUGUGAAGAAGGCCUUCGGGUUGUAAAGCACUUUCAGUGGGGAAGAAAGCCUUGGGGCUAAUACCCUCGAGGAAGGACAUCACCCACAGAAGAAGCACCGGCUAACUCCGUGCCAGCAGCCGCGGUAAUACGGAGGGUGCGAGCGUUAAUCGGAAUUACUGGGCGUAAAGCGCGCGUAGGCGGUCUGAUAAGCCGGUUGUGAAAGCCCCGGGCUCAACCUGGGAACGGCAUCCGGAACUGUCAGGCUAGAGUGCAGGAGAGGAAGGUAGAAUUCCCGGUGUAGCGGUGAAAUGCGUAGAGAGCGGGAGGAAUACCAGUGGCGAAGGCGGCCUUCUGGACUGACACUGACGCUGAGGUGCGAAAGCGUGGGUAGCAAACAGGAUUAGAUACCCUGGUAGUC